ACAAUGGAGAGUUUGAUCCUGGCUCAGGAUGAACGCUAGCGGCAGGCUUAACACAUGCAAGUCGAGGGGCAGCAUGAAGUAGCAAUACUUUGAU
RNAcentral lists this ribosomal RNA (94 nucleotides) under Alistipes sp. RNAcentral describes it as "partial 16S ribosomal RNA". It matches the Rfam family "Bacterial small subunit ribosomal RNA", at positions 1 to 91 of the family's 1533-position model. Lineage: Bacteria; Pseudomonadati; Bacteroidota; Bacteroidia; Bacteroidales; Rikenellaceae. The record is from RNAcentral.